GACCCCGCGGCGCGCCCGGGGCGGACGCGCCGGUCCGGGGCGCGGGGUGCGGGUGCCUGCCCGUGCCCCCUUCGGUCGUGCCGGAGGCGGGGUCA
Molecule: transfer RNA, 95 nt
Filed under: Streptomyces albogriseolus
Lineage: Bacteria; Bacillati; Actinomycetota; Actinomycetes; Kitasatosporales; Streptomycetaceae
Also listed under: 1 other name
Description: tRNA-Gly
Source: RNAcentral